CUUUAUCUCGACCAACCAAGCC
Molecule: small nuclear RNA, 22 nt
Filed under: Arabidopsis thaliana (thale cress)
Lineage: Eukaryota; Viridiplantae; Streptophyta; Magnoliopsida; Brassicales; Brassicaceae
Description: snRNA_07062
Source: RNAcentral